This 253-nucleotide ribosomal RNA is filed under the name uncultured bacterium. Its description in RNAcentral is "partial 16S ribosomal RNA". It matches the Rfam family "Bacterial small subunit ribosomal RNA", at positions 524 to 776 of the family's 1533-position model. The record is from RNAcentral.
UACGUAGGGCGCAAGCGUUGUCCGGAAUUAUUGGGCGUAAAGAGCUCGUAGGCGGUUCGUUACGUCUGCCGUGAAAACCCGAGGCUUAACCUCGGGCCUGCGGUGGAUACGGGCGGACUAGAGGUAGGUAGGGGAGAAUGGAAUUCCCGGUGUAGCGGUGAAAUGCGCAGAUAUCGGGAGGAACACCGGUGGCGAAGGCGGUUCUCUGGGCCUUACCUGACGCUGAGGAGCGAAAGCGUGGGGAGCGAACAGG